UGAAAAGAAAAUUACCCAGUAUCAAUAUUAAGAAUUGACAGACAAAUUCUGAAUUUACAUACAUGCAGAAUUUUAGUGCCUGUAUCAAAUGGAUUAAUGUCGGUAUGAAUUUUCCUAAUAACCAUUUCACCUGAAGAGAGUUAUUCUCUUAUAAAAUGGUACUUCACCUCAAUGUGCUUAGACCUUUCAUGAUAGACAGGGUUCUUGCUUAACAAAAAGACACUUUACUAACAGUAAGUAUAACAGGUGAAGUAAACAAAAAAUUCAAUUCACUUAAAAUUCCUUUGAGCCAUAUACAUUCUUUAACUCAUUCAGUAAUUGCCACAUACUCAACUUCAGUAUUAGAUAAAGUGACAAUGGAUUGAAGUUGAGACUUCCAGGUGAUACAAUUAUCACCAAGUGUAAAGAAAUAAGCAGUGGUAGAUUUUCUUUGAUCCUUAUCUCCUGUAAAACCAGAAUUCACGUACCCCUUAAGGGUUAAUGGUUCUGAUCCCUUUUUGAACACUAAACCUACCUUUAGUGUCCCAGUUAUAUAUUGUAAUAGCCAUUUUAAACCAUCCCAAUAUGGUUUCCCAGGGUUGGCCAUAAACCUGCUUAAAAAAUUGAUUGAAUAUGCUAGAUCAGGUCUGGUUGUGAUCAUGGAAAACAUUACUGCUCCCAUUGUAUUAGAGUAAGGAAUAUUUCCCAUGUCUUUAACUUCAAAUUCAGUUUUAGGGCAUUGGGCUGAGGAGAGAUUCAUGUGAGCGGCAAGUGAAACAUUAACAGACUUUGCCUCUUUCAUGCCAAAUUUUGAUAUCACUUUAUGCAGGUAAGAUUCUUAAGUUAUUGUUAACCCGUCUUUCUGUCUAUUUCUAGUCAUGACCAUUCCAAGUAUUUUCUGGGCAUUCCCUAAGUCUUUCAUUUCAAAUUCUGAUUUUAGGAGGUUCUUCAUCUUAUUAUUUCGAUCUUGCUUGAACUGGCCAGCAGCAUAUCAUCUACAUAUUAGAGUAGAUAUCGCUGCCAGGUUUAGAGUUGUAGUAAUAUAAGCAAUGAUCAUACUCAUUUCUCCUAAAACUAAUUUUCACAACAUAUGUGUCAAACUGGAGACCAUUCCAAGUAUUUUCUUGGCAUUCCCUAAGUCUUUCAUUUCAAAUUCUGAUUUUACGAGGUUCUUCAUCUUAUUAUUUCGAUCUUUCUUGAACUGGCCAGCAGCAUAUCAUCUACAUACUAGAGUAGAUAUCACUGCCAGGUUUAGAGUUGUAGUAAUAUAAGCAAUGAUCAUACUCACUUCUCCUAAAACUAAUUUUCACAACAUAUGUGUCAAACUGGACAUACCAUUGUCUCGGACUUUGUUUGAGCCCAUACAGAGAUUUUUCCAUUUUACAAACAUAGUCAGAUUUUCCCUUUUCCUCGAAACCUUGAGAUUGACACAUAUAAUUGUCCUCAUCCAACUCCCCAUGCAAAAAUGCAAUUUUGACAUCUAAUUGUUCAAGUUCCCAAUUAAACUGAACAACUAGAGCAAACAUUAGCCUUACAAUUUUAUAUUUGAUUACAGGUGAAAAAAUUUCAUUGAAAUCAAUUCCUUUCCUUUGGGUGAACCCCUUGGCCACUAGCCUUGCCUUAUAUCUCAAAGGGUUAGUGGGGAAAAUACUUUCUUUGAGUUUAUAAAUCCACUUGCAUUGUACCACUGUCUGAUUCUUUGGUUUCUUAAUAAGUUUCCAUGUUUUAUUGCCAAUUAGGGAUUUCAUUUCUUCUCUCAUAGCCUCUUUCCAAUUCUGAGACUUAGAACUAUUAAUAGCUUCUUCAUAAGAUAUAGGUUCAGCAUGUUCUAAGUUUUCACUAAUGAUGAGGGCAAAGUCAAUUAGAUUGUUAGUUUCAUAUCUGGGAUUAGGCUUAAUCUGUCUCCUUUCCCUAUCUCUCGCUAAUUGAUAAUCUUGGGUACUGGUUUCAUUUACAGGAUUAUCUUGUGUCACAAUUUCAGUUUCAAUUUGAGAUGUUGUAACUUCACCUUCAUCUAUAUUAUCUGCCCCUUCAUUAGGUUGUACAUGUCCAAGUUCAGUUAUUUCAGUAGAAUUAUGACUCAAUCUUGCCAACUUCACCUCAUUUUGUAAAGUAAUAUUUUCAAUUACAUCUUUUUUAUCCCUUUUAUUCUUCAAGCAUGGCAUUUCAGAUUCAUUAAAUACUACAUUUCUACUGUUAAUGAUUUAAUGCCUUUCUCACCUAGUACCCAUAACCUGUACCCUUUCAGGGUAUCCCAACAUAACACAUUUGGUAGUCCUGGGGUCUAAUUUCCCUUCAACUUAAUGUGCAUAUGCAGCACAUCCGAAGACCCUGAUGUUUGACAGAUUAGGUGGCUUUCCAGUCCAUAGUUCCUGAGGGGUUUUAAACUCUAUAGAACUGCAGGGUGACCUGUUUAUAAAAUAGGCUGCAGUGCAUAAAGCUUCUGCCUAGAAACCUUUUGCUAAAUCAGAACUUAUAAGCAUACAUCCAACUUUAUUCAUAAGAGUUCUAUUCAUUCUUUCAGCUACCCCAUUCUGUUGGGGUGUAUGCUUAACAGUUCUAUGUCUAAUUAUUCCCUUUUGUUUACAAAAGUUAUCAAAUUAUACAUUACAGAAUUCCAACCCAUUAUCUACCCUUAAGGUUUUCAAUUUUCUGCCCAAUUGAUUUUCAACCAUCGUUAACCACAUUCUGAAUUUUUGAAAUGUUUUAGAUUUUGCUUUUAAGGGGUAUGUCUAGACCUUUCUAGAAUGGUCAUCAAUUAUAAAAAGAAAAUAUUUGUUUCCACCAAAAGUUGAGUGGCUUUCUGGACCCCACAAAUCUGAGUGGACAUAGUCGAAUGGUCUAUUUGUAGUGUGUGACCCCGUCUCAAAGCUGACUCUAUGAGACUUUCCAAGUACACACGUCUCACAAAAGUUAAGGGGCUCUAUUUUAUCUUUUCCAAGGAAUUUUUGAUCAUUUAGAUAUUUUAAGCCCUUAUUACUAAUAUGUCCCAUCCUACAAUGCCACAAUUCAGAUUUACUUUCAGUUAUGGUUAAGGAUUUCGAAUCCUGGGAAUUGAUAGUCUCUCCCAUCAAGUAAUACAAACAAUUUUUUUUUUGGUCCCUUCAUAACUACAAGAGAUCCUUUGAGAAUCUUCAAAGUAUUAUUUUCAGAUUGAAAAGUAUGUCCCUCAUCUUUGAGAAUUCCUAGUGAAAUGAGAUUUCCUUUUAGAUUUGGGACAUGUCUUACAUUUUUAAUCUGUCUAACAAUACCAUCGUACAUUUUGAUUGUAAUGUCACCAAUUCCAAGAACAUUUUGUGAAUUAUUAUCACCCAUAUAUACUUUCCUAGGUUCUAUCUCCUUGUAGUUAUGAAACCAAGUUUUAUUUGGAUACAUAUGAAAGGUACAUCCACAGUCAAGUAUCCAGACAGUGUCUGUUUCAUCGUUAGACACGGUCAUAACAAGAAGGCAGUCUAGUUCUAGACUUACAACAACAUUAACUGUAAUUAGGUUCUUUUAGCUUCUUCUUUAAUUCAAAGCAAUCCCUUUUGAAGUGUCCAAGUUUUCCAUAGUGAUAGCAUUUUUUGUUGCUUUUAUCUUUUGAGUUGGACCUAGCUUUGGAUUUUGAUUUGAACCACCUAUUCAAUGAAUGAUUUUCUCUUUUUUCAGUUCUCCCUCUCACAAACAGGUUCUUCUCCUUGGAAUUAGUUCUUGAUUCCUUCUUAACCUCCAACUCCCUAGAUCUUAGGGCAUUUGUUACAAUCAUUUAUGUUAAAACAUCUCUUGAAUAUUUUAUAGCAUUUCAGAUAUUUUUAUAAGAUUCAGGUAGUGAAUUUAGAAGAAUCAUAGCCAGAUCUUCAUCCUCGAAUUUCUUAUCGUUAUGGGAAAGACUCUUGACAAAAUGCUAAAGUCACUAAGAUUUGAUUCUAAGUCUUUUCCAGAAUCCAUUUUUGAAGCUAAACUGUUUCUCCAACAGGUAGAUCUUAUUAGGUGUUGUUUUAGUUAAGAACAAAGCAUCUAGUGCUUUCCACAUGGGUCGAGCAGUUUUAUGUUCUUCAACUUGUCUCGCUAUGUUAUCAGACAAAUGUAGAAUGAUUGAACUAUAUGCUAUUUCAUUCAUAUCUUCAAUUUCAACAAGCUUAGCUUUCAAUUCAUCAAGAAACUUUUCGGGAUCGUCAAGGGCUUUUGCAACCCUCUGUUGGACCAAAAUGGUUCUCAGUUUUUGUUUCCAUAUAGAGUAGUUACCGUUUCCAUCGAAUUGACUCAAUUCGACCUUCGAACCCAUUGUGGGUUCUGUAAAAGGGUUAUUACUCGAAGACAUAAGUGAUAUAAUUCAAGAAAUCACUUAAGUUACAGACAAGUUUUGAAAAAAUAAGUUUGCAGAUAAUUGACAAUUAAGCUGGCCCGAAAUGACAAACAUACAGUUAUAUAACAUGCACUGACUGAAACACAGUAACACGAAAUGAUCAAUUUCAGAUUUCCAAAAUGUUGGUAUCAAUCAAUCAGAUUACAAAAAAAUGAAAUUUCCUAAAACGUGCUUCUAUCACAAUUAAACACUAUAUCCAAUUUCUUUGAAUAAUCAAAUGACAAUAGCAUCACUGAAUUCACAUAUAUCAUUUAUAUCAUGCAAAUUGACUACUGUAGUUUAAUUGUAAAAGAUCUCAC
This 4623-nucleotide long non-coding RNA is filed under the name Olea europaea (common olive). Its description in RNAcentral is "long non-coding RNA (OEUR_LNC002592)". Lineage: Eukaryota; Viridiplantae; Streptophyta; Magnoliopsida; Lamiales; Oleaceae. The record is from RNAcentral.